CCUACGGGAGGCAGCAGUGGGGAAUAUUGCACAAUGGGGGAAACCCUGAUGCAGCAACGCCGCGUGGGUGAAGGAGCGUUUCGGCGCGUAAAGCCCUGUCAGCGGGGAAGAAGUAAGACGGUACCCGACCAAGAAGCCCCGGCUAACUACGUGCCAGCAGCCGCGGUAAUACGUAGGGGGCGAGCGUUAUCCGGAUUUACUGGGUGUAAAGGGAGCGUAGACGGCGAGGUAAGCCUGAAGUGGAAGCCGGCGGCCCAACCGCGGAACUGCUUUGGGAACUGUUUGGCUGGAGUAAUGGAGGGGUAAGCGGAAUUCCCAGUGUAGCGGUGAAAUGCGUAGAUAUCGGGAGGAACACCAGUGGCGAAGGCGGCCUACUGGACAAUAACUGACGUUGAGGCGCGAAAGCGUGGGGAGCGAACAGGAUUAGAUACCCCUGUAGUC
This 441-nucleotide ribosomal RNA is filed under the name uncultured bacterium. RNAcentral's name for it is "partial 16S ribosomal RNA". It matches the Rfam family "Bacterial small subunit ribosomal RNA", at positions 338 to 795 of the family's 1533-position model. The record is from RNAcentral.